UACGUAGGGUGCGAGCGUUGUCCGGAAUUAUUGGGCGUAAAGGGCUCGUAGGCGGUUUGUCGCGUCGGGAGUGAAAACCUCGGGCUUAACUCGGGGCUUGCGGUCGAUACGGGCAUCACUGGAGUUCGGCAGGGGAGACUGGAAUUCCUGGUGUAGCGGUGAAAUGCGCAGAUAUCAGGAGGAACACCGGUGGCGAAGGCGGGUCUCUGGGCCGAUACUGACGCUGAGGAGCGAAAGCGUGGGGAGCAAACAGG
RNAcentral lists this ribosomal RNA (254 nucleotides) under uncultured bacterium. RNAcentral describes it as "partial 16S ribosomal RNA". It matches the Rfam family "Bacterial small subunit ribosomal RNA", at positions 524 to 776 of the family's 1533-position model. The record is from RNAcentral.